AUGCAUUACAGGACAUCUUUAUGUGUCCCUGACACCCAGCCCAGUCCCACCAGCCAGGGCUGGGAGCCGGGGGCCCAUCAGGCGAUGGAGCUGGUGCCCGUCUCCCGCUCGCUGCCUGGGUGGUGCCGGCAGCCGGAGCCCCAGCCGCAGCCUUCCUCGCGUCGGGUGCUGCGAUGUGCUAGCCUCGUCUUUCAGACAGUAUUUUUAUGUGAGCUGAUGGUUGCCAGGGUAACAGAGGCUUCGGGGAGUCUCGCGCCGACGCAGCGCCCCGGCCUCGGCGGGCGCUGGGAGCAGAUGCUGGCUGCGCGGGGAGCCAGGCGGGCGGCGAGGAGCGGCGCUGCCAGCGGGCACGCAGGCAGGGGCUGCCCGGAGCCAGCUGCCCGGCCGCGGGUUCCUCAGCCGUCGGCUUAAAGGCUCCAUCAAAAGGACAAAGAGCCAACCGAAGCUCGAUAGGAACAGCAGCUUCCGGCACAUUUUACCUGGCUUCAGGAGCGUGGACAAUGAAAGGUAAGGGGACGUUCCUGCGGGGUGGGGAGGAGAGGGUGUGGGAGAGAGAGAACCAGGAUAUUGAUGUGUCCAGGGCUUGUUAAUAUCUUGCUUAUCUCAUUCAGAGCAAGGGCCACGUCCCUGACAGAAGCGGACUUGCUGAAUUGUGAUGGGGUAAUUUUAAUCUGUUGGCGAGUGCCCAGUGCAAGCCCUCCCUUCUGGGGUUAAAUAGCGCGUACCGAGAAGCCUGUGUGAUCUGCUGUCUUUCCCCCAGUAAAUCCUAAGUUGAUGCACCGGCAUAUAAAUAGCACGGAGAUGUAGCAGCCAAAGCCGACCGAUGCGGGUGAAGGCGGGAGGAGAGGGACGCUCCCACAGCGGGUGCAUUGAGCAUUGCCGGGCUGCACGCUGUACGAACAAUAACAACCGGAAUCUGCCCAGCUCCCUGUCUCCCUUCCACACACACGUCUCCAGCGUAGCCCCUGCCCGCCAGCAUUACGCUGCGAUGGAUGCCCGGCAUGUGGCCGGAGCUGCCUUUCUGUCUGAGCCCCGGCAGGAUCUUUCAGUCCAGAAGGGAUGUGUUGCAGGGAAUAUGCAGAUGGAUCGGAGGAAGCUUUUGACAUGGGAUGGCCAGUACUGGAGUGAAUUGACAGCAAAAUACAGGGGAAAUGAGACCUUGUUUUUGCCAUUCGGCUCAGCUAGAAAGUAAAGCUCUUUAGUGGAUUUCUGUGUAUUUAUGUGUAUGUACAUUUAUGUCAGGGUGUGCAUGAGGCAGACACACGUUUCUAGGUAAAUUUGUGUGUAAAUUCACAUGCAGAUCAAGGUCAGGGCUGGGUAUGACAGGCUCCAUUACCAGUCACAGAAACAAACUAGUGGUUUGCCUCCAAAAGGAAGAUCUUUAAACCUUACGUGAAUCUCUUCAGAGAAUGACUCAGAAGUAUUGGGGUGCCAAAAUAAGUCUUUGUCUGAAAAACAUGCCAAAUAGGAAGUGCAGUGGUGUUAUCAUUUUGUAGCAGUGGUAUUGUAAAAUAUCAGGACAGCACGUUACAAUCCACUGAGUGCAUGCUUCACUUCUAGACAAUGGCAACUUCUUUUUAGCUAUGUUCACUCACUGGAGGGGCAGGGAAUUUAUGAAGCCCGCAUCUGGAUUUUUCCUGAGAUGACCUAAGCUUAUUCCUUCUGGAUUUAGAAAGUAAAAGGAUUGUGCUGGUCAGCGUAGAGUAAUAUUCCAGGGGUUACUAUCUGAGCAGGCAGAGUCGGUGUGGUUUCUGUGCUGCAGUUUUCACAGAUGCUCAAAGUAGGGCACUGUGCUCCGUGUAGAAGGCGAGUGAGGGAGCCGGGUGGCCAGGAAUCUGCCCAGAGUGCUGCUGCUUCACCCCAAAAUGGGCAAGCUGGAUGAUGUUUCUCUCUAUGUAGAUGAGUUUUGUUUCUUUCUGUGAAUUGUCACUAUAGGACAUGGGAAUGAGCUGCUUGGCCAGCCCUGGAGCCAAAGUCAUUUUCCCAAAUGAAGCCUUGUAAUUUCCCUGCCCUCCCAGCUCAAGAACCCUGGCUCUUGCUGGGCAGUGCCCUUUCAGACAGAGCCCCAUUUACCAGAGCUUUUCUUUAAGGAGAUUCAGUGAAUGGCUGUAGUGCAUGUUCGGUGUGGAGUACACAAGGUGGGUUGGAGGAGAGGUAGCAUUUGGCAGCCUUGAAUAAACCCCAAGGAUUUGCUCA
Molecule: long non-coding RNA, 2196 nt
Filed under: Anas platyrhynchos platyrhynchos (common mallard)
Lineage: Eukaryota; Metazoa; Chordata; Aves; Anseriformes; Anatidae
Description: lncRNA (ENSAPLG00000026707.1)
Source: RNAcentral